RNAcentral lists this ribosomal RNA (403 nucleotides) under uncultured bacterium. RNAcentral describes it as "partial 16S ribosomal RNA". It matches the Rfam family "Bacterial small subunit ribosomal RNA", at positions 30 to 526 of the family's 1533-position model. The record is from RNAcentral.
AUUGAACGCUGGCGGCAGGCCUAACACAUGCAAGUCGAGCGACCGGCGGCCGGGUGAGUAAUGUAUGGGGACUGCCCGAUAGAGGGGGAUAACUACUGUAAACGAUGGCUAAUACCGCAUACCGUCGGUUAACCCCUAUCGGAUUAGAUAGUAGGUAAGGUAAUGGCUUACCUAGGCGACGAUCCCUAGCUGGUCUGAGAGGAGGAGCGGCCAAACUGGGACUGUGACACGGCCCAGACGCCGACGGGGGCAGCAGUGGGUAAGAUUGCAAGAUGGGCGCAAGCCUGAUGCAGCCAUGCCGCGUGUAUGAAGAAGGCCCUAGGGUUGUAAAGUACUUUCAGUCGGGAGGCGUUACCGACAGAAGAAGCACCGGCUAAGUCCGUGCCAGCAGCCGCGGUAAUAC